AUCCUCCCACCCUUUGUGUACCUACCUCUGUUGCUUUGGCGGGCCGCGGUCCUCCGCGGCCGCCCCCUCCCCGGGGGUGGCCAGCGCCCGCCAGAGGACCAUCAAACUCCAGUCAGUAAACGAUGCAGUCUGAAAAAUAUUCAAUAAACUAAAACUUUCAACAACGGAUCUCUUGGUUCUGGCAUCGAUGAAGAACGCAGCGAAAUGCGAUAAGUAAUGUGAAUUGCAGAAUUCAGUGAAUCAUCGAAUCUUUGAACGCACAUUGCGCCCUUUGGUAUUCCGAAGGGCAUGCCUGUUCGAGCGUCAUUACAACCCUCAAGCUCUGCUUGGUAUUGGGCACCGUCCUUUGCGGGCGCGCCUCAAAGACCUCGGCGGUGGCGUCUUGCCUCAAGCGUAGUAGAACAUACAUCUCGCUUCGGAGCGCAGGGCGUCGCCCGCCGGACGAACCUUCUGAACUUUUCUCAAGGUUGACCUCGGAUCAGGUAGGGAUACCCGCUGAACUUAAGCAUAU
Molecule: ribosomal RNA, 511 nt
Filed under: Botryosphaeria ramosa
Lineage: Eukaryota; Fungi; Ascomycota; Dothideomycetes; Botryosphaeriales; Botryosphaeriaceae
Description: eukaryotic LSU rRNA
Rfam family: 5.8S ribosomal RNA (bases 153-306)
Source: RNAcentral